UACGGGAGGCAGCAGUGGGGAAUAUUGCACAAUGGGCGAAAGCCUGAUGCAGCUAUGCCGCGUGUAUGAAGAAGGCCUUAGGGUUGUAAAGUACUUUCAUCGGGGAGGAAAAAACAAAACUAAUAAUUUUAUUUCUUGACGUUACCCGAAAAAGAAGCACCGGCUAACUCCGUGCCAGCAGCCGCGGUAAUACGGAGGGUGCUAGCGUUAAUCAGAAUUACUGGGCGUAAAGAGCACGUAGGUGGUUUUUUUAAAGUCAGAUGUGAAAUCCCUGGGCUUAACCUAGGAACUGCAUUUUGAAACUGAAAUACUAGAGUAUCGUAGAGGGAGGUAGAAUUCUAGGUGUAGCGGUGAAAUGCGUAGAUAUCUGGAGGAAUACCUGUGGCGAAAGCGGCCUCUUAAACGAAUACUGACACUGAGGUGCGAAAGCGUGGGGAGCAAACAGGGAUUAGAUACC
RNAcentral lists this ribosomal RNA (457 nucleotides) under uncultured bacterium. RNAcentral's name for it is "bacterial SSU rRNA". It matches the Rfam family "Bacterial small subunit ribosomal RNA", at positions 340 to 786 of the family's 1533-position model. The record is from RNAcentral.